GUGGCGGACGGGUGAGUAACGCGUGGGUAACCUACCCUGUACAGGGGGAGUAACAGUCAGAAAUGACUGCUAAUACCGCAUAAGACCACAGCACCGCAUGGUGCAGGGGUAAAAACUCCGGUGGUACAGGAUGGACCCGCGUCUGAUUAGCUGGUUGGUGAGGUAACGGCUCACCAAGGCGACGAUCAGUAGCCGGCUUGAGAGAGUGAACGGCCACAUUGGGACUGAGACACGGCCCAAACUCCUACGGGAGGCAGCAUG
RNAcentral lists this ribosomal RNA (261 nucleotides) under uncultured bacterium. Its description in RNAcentral is "partial 16S ribosomal RNA". It matches the Rfam family "Bacterial small subunit ribosomal RNA", at positions 95 to 353 of the family's 1533-position model. The record is from RNAcentral.